GACGAACGCUGGCGGCGUGCUUAAAAACAUGCAAGUCGAACGGACUUCUCAUGAAGCUUGCAAUUGAGAAGUUAGUGGCGGACGGGUGAGUAACGCGUGGGCAACCUGCCCCUGAGCCCGGGAUAACAGUUCGAAAGGACUGCUAAGACCGGAUAUACUUGCGGGGAAGCAUUUCUCUGUAAGGAAAGGGAACGCUCAGGGAUGGGCCCGCGUCCCAUUAGCUAGUUGGUGAGGUAACGGCCCACCAAGGCGACGAUGGGUAGCCGGCCUGAGAGGGUGAACGGCCACACUGGGACUGAGACACGGCCCAGACUCCUACGGGAGGCAGCAGUUGGGAAUCUUCGGCAAUGGGCGCAAGCCUGACCGAGCAACGCCGCGUGAGUGAUGAAGGUUUUCGGAUUGUAAAGCUCUGUCUUCCGGGACGAUAAUGACGGUACCGGAGGAGGAAGCCACGGCUAACUACGUG
Molecule: ribosomal RNA, 466 nt
Filed under: uncultured bacterium
Lineage: Bacteria
Description: bacterial SSU rRNA
Rfam family: Bacterial small subunit ribosomal RNA
Source: RNAcentral